UAAGACGAACCGUGCGAACGUUAUUCGGAAUCACUGGGCUUAAAGCGCGUGUAGGCGGCCCGGCGCGUCAGACGCUGAAAUCCCCCGGCUCAACCGGGGAAGGGGCGGUGAUACGGCCGGGCUGGAGGGGGGUAGGGGGAUCGGGAACUUCCGGUGGAGCGGUGAAAUGCGUUGAGAUCGGAAGGAACGCCCGCGGCGAAAGCGCGGUCCUGGACCCCACCUGACGCUGAGACGCGAAAGCCAGGGGAGCGAACGGGAUUAGAUACCCCGGUAGUCCUGGCCGUAAACCAUGAGCACUGGGUAGGGGGCUCGCCGAUGGGCUCCCUGCCGCAGCGAAAGCGUGAAGUGCUCCGCCUGGGGAGUAUGGUCGCAAGGCUG
This 378-nucleotide ribosomal RNA is filed under the name uncultured bacterium. RNAcentral's name for it is "bacterial SSU rRNA". It matches the Rfam family "Bacterial small subunit ribosomal RNA", at positions 521 to 896 of the family's 1533-position model. The record is from RNAcentral.